This 263-nucleotide ribosomal RNA is filed under the name uncultured archaeon. RNAcentral's name for it is "partial 16S ribosomal RNA". It matches the Rfam family "Archaeal small subunit ribosomal RNA", at positions 747 to 1008 of the family's 1478-position model. The record is from RNAcentral.
CAGACCGUAAACUAUGCGCGUUAGGUGUAUCGGUGACCACGAGUUACCGAGGUGCCGAAGGGAAACCGUGAAACGUGCCGCCUGGGAAGUACGGUCGCAAGGCUGAAACUUAAAGGAAUUGGGCGGGGGAGCACCACAACAGGUGGAGCCUGCGGUUUAAUUGGACUCAACGCCGGGAAGCUCACCGGAUAGGACAGCAGAAUGAUUGCCGGGCUGAAGACCCUGCAUGACUAGCUGAGAGGAGGUGCAUGGCGUCAGUGACU